AAAUUUGAGAAUUUGUUUCUCUUCCUUUUUGAAAUUUUAUUUCUCUAAAGAAUUUGUUUUUCCUUCUUGAGAAUUCGUUUCUCUACCUUUUGUGUUCUACUUCGUUCUACAUCAACAUGCCCUUAGCAAAUCAUGCAAAACAAUGGAUACGUCAUCUCUCAUAGGUUUUACUCUUUAAUUACACUAUGCUUUUGUUUUCAACCUACCUUUCCUUUCUGCCAUCAUAGACAACUGAAUUAUCACUUUCAGUUUGGCAACCAUAGUAGAUCACGAGCACUCAUUUGUUAGAAUUCUCUUUGAGGCACCUCAAAUUUCUUUUGGUUCAAAGUGGAUUGUUAAGCUGCCCAUAUGGCUAAUAACAUUGCAAUAAAAUGUAACUAAAUCCCAUUGUAGUGUGCCAUUCCAACCAAGUGAAACUUAUCAAUUAACUUUUGUGUCACAUUUUAAUGAGAAAAAUAUAAAUGCUGUAAUGCAUCAAGGAAAAACGUUAAAUAUUUAAGUGCAAUGCAGCAUAAAGUGAAAAUAUCAAAACUUUUGAAAAACAGCAAUACAGGCACUUUACAGCAUACAGCAUAGACUUGUUAACAUUAGAAUUAUCAGUAACUUCAAUCCAGUCUUAAAAUGAUGCAUAACAAAAAUUUUUGCAUUUAAAACAAUCAUUGAGAUUGAGUGCUAAUUAAGCUGACUAGUAACAAAAAAUUCACGCAUCUGUGCACUGAAAAGAAUUUGUGCACAUGUAUAUGUGCAUUACAUACACAUAUAAUACCUAGGAAUCAUCAGUAUCAGGUAUUUAAGUAUUAUAAUAUCUAAGAACCCAAUUUAAGGGCAUAAAUGAGAUCAACCAAAAUACUCACUUCCUUAAGAAUUG
RNAcentral lists this unclassified non-coding RNA (868 nucleotides) under Hevea brasiliensis (rubber tree). The record is from RNAcentral. Lineage: Eukaryota; Viridiplantae; Streptophyta; Magnoliopsida; Malpighiales; Euphorbiaceae.